GACGAACGCUGGCGGCGUGCUUAACACAUGCAAGUCUGAGGGCGGGGCCACCCGUCACCGGCGAACGGGUGCGGAACACGUGAGCGACCUGCCUUGUGUGUGGGCGCUAGCCGGCCCAACGGCCGCGUAAUACCGCAUCCGUCCCGCGCUUGGAGGCGCUGAGAGAAAGUCCGGAAGGGCGCACGAGGAGGGGCACGCGGACUAUCUGCGAGUUGGGGGGGUAUCGGCCCACCACGGCGACGCCAGGCAGCUGGUCUGAGAGGAUGCCUGGCAACAUCCGGGCUGAGAGAGGGCCCAGACUACUGCGGGAGGCAGCAGUGGGGAAACUUGCGCAAUGGGCGAAAGCCUGACGCAGCGACGGCGCGUGGAGGAUGAGGCCCUGCGGGGUGUAAACUCCUGUUGCUCGGGACGAACGGCGGGAAUCGGCCCGCUUGACGGUACCGGGUGAGGAAGCACCGGCUAACUCUGUG
Molecule: ribosomal RNA, 470 nt
Filed under: uncultured bacterium
Lineage: Bacteria
Description: partial 16S ribosomal RNA
Rfam family: Bacterial small subunit ribosomal RNA
Source: RNAcentral